This 346-nucleotide RNase P RNA is filed under the name human gut metagenome. Its description in RNAcentral is "Bacterial RNase P class A". It matches the Rfam family "Bacterial RNase P class A". From Rfam's summary of the family: Ribonuclease P (RNase P) is a ubiquitous endoribonuclease, found in archaea, bacteria and eukarya as well as chloroplasts and mitochondria. Its best characterised activity is the generation of mature 5'-ends of tRNAs by cleaving the 5'-leader elements of precursor-tRNAs. RNAcentral also lists the same sequence under 1 other name. The record is from RNAcentral.
GAGUCGGCCAGACGACCGCGUCGGACUUCGGGUCCGCCGAGGAAAGUCCGGGCUCCAUAGGACACGGUGGUGGCUAACAGCCACCCGGGGUGACCCGCGGGACAGUGCCACAGAAAACAAACCGCCCGAAAGGGUAAGGGUGAAAAGGUGGAGUAAGAGCCCACCGCACGGCAGGUGACUGUCGUGGCACGGUAAACCCCACCGGGAGCAAGACCAAGCAGCACCUGGGCUGUCCGUCCAUAGGGUGCGGGUAGGUUGCUAGAGGACGCCAGCAAUGGCGCCCCGAGAGGGAUGGUCGUCCGCCGCCGCGAGGCGGUGACAGAACCCGGCUUAUCGGCCGGCUCGU